Molecule: long non-coding RNA, 2223 nt
Organism: Cicer arietinum (chickpea)
Lineage: Eukaryota; Viridiplantae; Streptophyta; Magnoliopsida; Fabales; Fabaceae
Source: RefSeq, a predicted model, not a curated record
UGGCCGCAAAUUUGUUCUGUGAAAAAUAACCAGUCAAAACCCUAACUUAUAAUUCGGGUGGGCUUUUAGGGUUUUUAUGCGGCUAUAAAUUCACAGGCAACUACUGUGUUUUCAGUAUCAUAGAGAUAGCACGAUGCCUCCCGGGCUUCUCUGAUAAAUUUCAUGACGCGAAAGCCCCGAUGCACGUGCUACAUCGAUGCCGUUCGUGUUGCAGUUCUGCCUAAUUCUCACGGCGGAUCUGUGUCAAAGCAAUGGCUAAAUAUCAUUCUUUUCAAUUUCAAUAUUUUUUUUUGUUUUUUAAUUCGCCUCACUACACCUUUAGCUUGAUUUCUAAUAUUUCCAUGAAAAUCAAAGCUAGUCAUAGAGGCGCAAAUUGAAUCUCAGGCGGUUUUCACGUGGUGGUUUUAACUUUCAUUGUUUAUGCCUCUAAAAAAAUUCGCCACAUUAAAUUAACGUUCUUAGUCUUUUAUAUUUUUUAAUCCUAGUUUAUUGGCUAUGAUUACAAAUUAUCCGCGCUUCUGAGGUUUCUCUAUGAAGUAUAUCGGAAUAAAUGGUUGAAUUUCUUAAUAUGAGCCAAAAAUUAUUUAUUUAUGUAUUUAGAAUUGAUAUUGGUUUAUUUACGAAUUCUUUUUCUUCAAAUUUUUACUAUGAUAGUUGGCUAUGAGGACAAUUUAUUCAGCUUUAAUGCCAGUUCUGCUUCUGAAAAAUCUUGAUUGAUAGAGCUGUGAUAUAUACUGAGCCUUUUUCUACUCUAGUUUAAUUUGUGUGUUUUUUCUACCUUUAUUUCAUUAUGUCUUCCUUAGAGCUAUGAUAGUAUGUUAAUCAGAUGGUUCACAUUUGCCUGUGAUUAUAUUAUAUCCAAUUGUUUGAGGUGUUUUGGAGCCAAGCCCCUGUCUACAGGGAGAACCUACUUGGUGAAGGGACAUUCAUAUGACAUUACCGGAUUCAAAUGAGGCUUUGAUUGUGAAAAAAUGUUUGUGUUUUUCCUCCUUAUCUGAAUUAUUUCGAAUAAAUUACUUGAUUGUGUACUUUUGUGAGUCCUGUGUUGUUUGUUUUACAUUGUGUUGUACCAAUGAUGUUUUUUAACAAUCCAACUUGUCUGAGGUUGUAGUUAACCCAAGAUCCUGUUUACAGGGUGAACCUACUUGGUGUUACUACAUUUCCAAUGACAUCAGAGAUUAAACUGAGGUUCAUCAAUCUUAUUGAUCUGUAUUUUUGAAGUUUACUACCGUAGUUUAGAACUUUGUUGUCUUUAUUUUGUUUUAUUGAGUUUUAACUAUACUCUUUUCCUUUUUAUAUGGUUUAGAGUCUGAAAAAACUCAUAGAUUCAGUGUUGUCUAUCAGCUUCAUCUUUUGAUUCCCUACGAGAAUGGAGUUAAAUAACAGCACAACAUUUUGAAAUUAUAUCUAUAAUAAUUAAUCUUAACCAUAAAUUCUUUAAUUUUAAUAUUCAAUCUAGUACAUUAGAGUUUUCAAAUUCUCAGAACAAAAUUCUAAAUAUUGAAACUAAUUUGACGGGUUGAUUGCGAUGAUUAUAAAAAAUUCCUCGUACUGAUUGCUAUUGGCAUGACAGACACGUUACACCCAUAGAAUAUGAGCAUCAUCCUCGUUAAUAAUUUAAUUUGUUGUCAAUUUUAUGUUUUUUCAAUGAUUGUAUUUUUAUAUAAUAUUCUGAAUUGGAGUUUAAUGCUGUAUUGCGGAGUACGAUUUACAUAAUGAAUGCUUUGUCUUCAGCUAACUCCUCAUAAAGAUUGAAGUGGUGUUUAAAGCCCUGUCCAAAAUUUAUUGAGAUUGGGGUUACGCACACCUCCAUAAUCUAAUACAUUCACAUUGUUUUGAUUGGUUUAAUUAAUUCCGAUUAAUAAUUCAUUCGCGUUGUGAGUUGUUCGGUUUUAUUUUUAUAUCUGUUUUUGCUUUUCGGUUUUUAUUCAGUUUUGGGAAAUGAUGUUAAUAAUGCCGACAGAAGCAUUAGCUCUGCUGAAUUAUUAUUUGCACGUCAGUCUGAUCCUAAAUGUCAUCUACAGAGUACUCUGUUGGUAGAGUUAUGUUGUUUUUUCUAUUAUCUUUGUUCUUUUGCCUUUGAAAUGUUUGUAUGCAUUCACCACCUGUUUUUAGAGCACGAUAUAAUUUGUUGGGAUUAUGGUUUAUUGUUCGAUGUUCUAUUGGAUAUACUCGUGAAAGUUAUGGAUAAUGGUUUUGCUUUAGGUUUUCGUUGUUUGACAA